GGCACUUUGGCGGAGUGGUUAACGCGAUGCCCUGCUAUCUACACACCACAGAUAUCAGUUACUAUAGGCAUUUCCUUCGGGAGCGUGUGUUCGAAUCACACAGGUGUCG
Molecule: transfer RNA, 109 nt
Filed under: Erysiphe necator (grape powdery mildew)
Lineage: Eukaryota; Fungi; Ascomycota; Leotiomycetes; Helotiales; Erysiphaceae
Rfam family: tRNA
About the family: Transfer RNA (tRNA) molecules are approximately 80 nucleotides in length. Their secondary structure includes four short double-helical elements and three loops (D, anti-codon, and T loops).
Source: Rfam by way of RNAcentral